RNAcentral lists this unclassified non-coding RNA (380 nucleotides) under uncultured bacterium. RNAcentral's name for it is "contains 16S-23S intergenic spacer region". The record is from RNAcentral.
UCCGAGUUGACCCCGGCAGUCUCCUAUGAGUCCCCACCAUAACGUGCUGGCAACAUAGGACGAGGGUUGCGCUCGUUGCGGGACUUAACCCAACAUCUCACGACACGAGCUGACGACAGCCAUGCAGCACCUGUGCUCCCGUCCCGAAGGAGGGGCCUGAUUUCUCAGGCCUUACGGGAGCAUGUCAAGCCCUGGUAAGGUUCUUCGCGUUGCGUCGAAUUAAACCACAUGCUCCGCUGCUUGUGCGGGCCCCCGUCAAUUCCUUUGAGUUUCAGCCUUGCGGCCGUACUCCCCAGGCGGGGCACUUAUCGCGUUAGCUGCGGCACCGAAGGGGUCGCUCCCCCCGGCACCUAGUGCCCAUCGUUUACGGCGUGGACUAC